Long non-coding RNA from Camelina sativa (false flax), 278 nucleotides. RefSeq lists it as uncharacterized. The record is from RefSeq and is a predicted model, not a curated record. NCBI's taxonomy places the organism in Eukaryota, Viridiplantae, Streptophyta, Magnoliopsida, Brassicales, Brassicaceae.
CAUUUACAGUCGCUGCUGAUGUCUUUCCUCCCAAAUCUUUCUUCCUGAGCUGGCUACAAACAGAUCUCGUUGAAUGGCCUGAACGAACGGCCUCAUAACCGUAAUUUUUGUAAUUUGUUGUAGAAUUUUGAUAAUGAGUUUGUAAUUUAUCUUCAUGAACUUGAUUUUUUAGUUUUCAAUUUGUUUAAUAGCUUGUAAUUUUUUUCAUGAAUUUGCAAUUUAUUGUCGGUUAACCGAAUAAACCGAGGAAAAAAAUCAAUUCAGUUUAGUUCGGAAUU